GCCAGAACCAAUCCUCACACGAAAACACAGCGCACCAGGACCAAUCCUUUACCGUCCUCGAGCCCCACGCCACUCUUCUCCCAUCCGCGUCGUCCGGCCUCCCCUGCUCCUCGGUCCCCCGCCGCCUCACGGCCUCUCGCACCGCUGCCUUUUCUCCCGGCCUCUUCCCCGGCGCUCGAGGUGCAGUAGCGUGGGCGCUGCCACGUUCUCGAUCCAGUCGGAUCUGGCGCAGGUCGCCGGCAUCCGGCACCGCGCGCCGUGAUUCCAGAUCGGGCGUAGGUCGCCGGCAGGAGAGCAGGAGCGGCUGCUGCAGCGAGUGCAGUGGAGGAUCCUACCCUGGUCAAGCCCCACCCCGGCGGCUGCGUGCAGAAGAGGAGCGGUCGAGGAUGGCCGGCAGUUCGUGGAGGAGACGCUCGGCACAGAUAGGGAUAGCGAGGAGGAGGUUGUCCCCGCGAGGAGGCAACGUGAGGCUGCACGGGCGCCUCCCCAUGUGUGCAUCUACCGAGAAUGGAUGGACUCAAGUGGGUAAGGACGCCAUCAGCACGUGAUAAGAUUAGGUGCUGGGUACCACAUCCGCCCAAAUCCAAGGUCUCAAGCCACACAGGUCAGCUUCUACUUCAUACAUGAUUUCUUCAUCUCAGUUGUACCAGAAUAGAAAGCCAUGCCUCUGCCUUCACCAAGAGUAGUAUUUUCUGCAGGUUUUCCACCAUCUCCUACUGACCACGCAUGCCUCAUAAUUUGGUGGAUGUACCAUUUAUGUAGCUUUAUUCACUAGGCAUGGAGAUGGGGCUGUCGCUUUGGUUGUAGCCAUUCAUAUGCAUACACGCAAGGAUGGAGAUUUCAGUUGUGCUUACCUCGACAAAAUAUCAUUGUUGGUAGCAUAGCCAUAUCAUUGUACUUGGCAUCUACCUUACUGUAUUAGGAUUCUUAAUGUUUCAUGAGGUUUUAUUUUGUGAGUUCUGGUAUUAUUUGUUAUAAUUGCGUGAAACUAUUUCUGAACCUAUAUGACAUAAAUUUAGUGUUACCAGUCUGGAAGUUAUGAUAGCAAUGGUUUUAACAUUUUCAUGUUUUAUCUUUUUUGUAAUCAUAUCACUUGCGGGGAAUAUGUUCAGAUGUCUCGUGCUUGGAAAGGGCCCAUUACACAUAUCAUGGAAACAAGAUCUAUUUUUGUAUUUUUGUAAUCAUUAAACAUAUCAGAUGUCUCGUGUUUGGAAUGUGCAAGCUGAACUCCUCUAUCAUUGGCGUUAAUCUUCCAAUCAACAAGGUAAAUGGGAUACAAUAUAUAAUCCAUGACUCUUUCCUCGAUUCCUUUUACAUUAUCGAAUCUGACGGUCACCAUUAUUAACCAUCACAUAUUAGUAUUAGGAUUGAAUCUUCUGUGCUAUUGCAUUUGUUUAGAGAAGUUUUGACCUAUACUUUCAGGAACAGUCCACCGGUCAGUUUCUUCGUGUAAAAGGAAUUGAGAAAGUCAUGGAUUUGUACGAUUGAAUGUUUGUGUUGCUGCAUUUGUUCAGAGAAGUUUUGACCUGUACUUCCAGGAACAGUCCACCGGUUGUCAAUGCAGUCCAUAGAGAACAAGUUGCUAAAAAAAUAUGGGAUGCAGUUAGCCUAAGAGUGACCACUUAGGCACUUACCAAAUUUUUGUUAAAUUACAAAUGGAAUCCACUACCAUACAUGUUCGCAUUAGUGAUAUGUUCAUUUCUCCCCUGGAUAGUUAUCAAUGCAGUCCAUAGAGAACAAGUUGCUAAAAGAAUAUGGGAUGCAGUUAGCCUAUGAGUGACCACUUACCAAAAUUUUGCUAAAUUACAAAUGGAAUCCACAGUACAAUAUUGUACUUUUAUCAAAUUGCAUAAAUCAGUGUACUAUUUUCAUGAAUAUUAUGCAGGGAGCUCCAUUCUACCUUGGUUGCUUCAAAUAAAAAAUCUGCCGACUGAAAGUAUGUCAGUUGGUUAUUGGUGCUCUUGGCCCUUUAUGCUUAUUGGUUAUUUGCUUCAUGUGGUUUCCAUUUUUAACUACAUGGGCAAUUUUAAUUUCAGUGUUUAUAUAUCUAUCAGUUCUCGUGCUCAUUGUAGAUUAUGCAAUACAAUUAUGUUCAGAGGAGCUUUAGAGUAAAGACUAACCAGUACAAGACCUGUUUUUGCAAGGGCCAUUACACAUAUCAUGGAAACAAGAUGGUUAUUGAUUUAUGCUGCACAAUGCCCUAUCUAUGUUCAGAAUAUAUUCAUGUCUGAAUAAUACAAUUAGAAGCGAUAGAAGUGUUCGCUGAAAUGGAUUUUCUUACUCAACACAAUAUAUUGGCGAGCUUGAAAAAAAUAACUUGAAGCAAAGGAUGGAGAGUAUAUCUCAACAACAAGUAAUUAAACAUGGUAAGUAAUCAUCACGCCCUUUGAAUUUUUUGUUUCUUGUCUAAGAGUUCUGCUCUCCAUUAAAAUAGCAUUUCGGAAAUUGCAUUGACUUCAUGGGAUAUUAGUCAAGUGCAAACCUUCAGUUAAUUUUGCUGGCACUACAUUUUCUUUUUGAUGUCAACAGAAUUGAGGACAUUGUGCAUUCAUUGACAUUAACAAGGACCUGAGCAUGCAUUCCUGAAGUAAGUCUGAUGGUUAGCUUAGCAGUGUGUACAAGCAUAGGAAUUUUUUGCUAUGUACUUUGCAGGCUGAUUUUAGAUAUUGAAAGAAGGUUUAGUCGAUAGAAUGUACCAUAAAAACCUUACGCAUCUACUCUUUCUUUAUUUUUUCAUUGCUUUCAAGAUUAUCAGUUCCCACUAGGUAUGUUCACUUCAGGUUGUGGUGUUGAGCCUUCAGCGUUACACUCUGAAUAUUUAACCAUUAGAUGACUGAACCUAUAAACCUCUUAAAAAUGCAUUGUUACUUUUUAUGUUGAAUUAAACUUAUUCAGUUUAUGAACAUUUGUACAUGCUGCUACAAAGCAUAAAAAGGGGGGAAAUAAAAAUUCAUUUGCUGACUGUUCUUGCAUCGAUAGUUUUGUGGUGCAAAAUAGGAACUAAGAGGCUCACUUGUAGUAUUAGACUGUCUAUGUUACAGCCAGCACGUUCCAUUUUGUUUCUACAUAUUGUUCGCUAAAGAAGGUUGCAGAGAUAUCGCUAUGGAGAAGAAAAACGUGGUGAGAUGGGGAUUACAGUUUAUUGCAAACUUAGAUGGGAUUAUAGUUUUUGUUUUUUUGUUGGUCAUGUUUUCUUAGGAUAAUUCAUUGAUAGCUGAUCUUGUUGUCUACAGAUUUUCUUAGAAUUGUACCAACAUUGUUCAUACUACUGCUUGUGGGGUUAUCCCCCUGAUUUUGUUAGGAAGCUUUGCUUAUAGUUACCUGCAAAUUGCUCUUGGAUGCGUGAGAUCAUUUAGUUUCGGAUCCAUGCUUGUGUGGUUUGCUCGUGCAUGCCAUCUCUUUUGGCGGUCGGUGUGCAGUCCAUGCUACCUGCUUCUUCUUCUUAUUUGCUUGUUCAUUAUUUAUAUAUGAUCAACUCAGAUGGGGUUGCCUUCUGAAUUUAGCAUGACAACUAUUGAUGUUGGUGUAGUAUGCUUCCUCAUCCGGCAGACCACCACCUACUUCAGUAUGUGUGCUUCUGAAUUUAGCACGACAACUAUUGAUGUUGCGUUAGUACGUUUUCUUUAGGAUCCAACGGGCGAACAUUUCCUCUUUACACAUGAAAUGCUUCUUCUCUUCUCACUAAUGAUCGCUAUUAUAAGCCUUUCAUUUUUCUCACUAAUGCAUGCAAGUUAAUUAACUAUCUAAUAGAAUGAAACUCUGCUUCUAGGGUCCAGUAGGUGUUUGUUGUUGCAUGUGCAAAUAGUGAUCCUUGUUGCUCACUGAUACAUGCAUGUUUAUUAACCUUUUCUGUUUUUCACUAAUGCAUACGACCUAAUUCACCAUCCAAUAAAAUGAACUUGUGCUUUCAGGGUUCCGUAGGUCUUUUCGCUGACUGUUUGCUUAUGUUGUAUUUAGGCUGUUCUUUUUCCGCUUUUUCAGAUGUAUGUCAUGUACGUGUAGCCGUGGUUCUAAAACAUCUCCAUUCUUUUUCUUCCUAUCAACGUACUUUGAUUCAGUUAUUUGACUAAGUAGUAUAUAUUAUAUUCCCAGGGUUAAUUAGUACCUAAAAUGCUACCUUUAGUUUCUGCAAUUGUUAUUAUGUUUCAUUGAUUCAGUCCUGUAGUUCAAUUGUUCCAGUGGAUUUUGCUAAAUUGUUUUCUAUCUUUAAUUAGUAAAUAAAAGGCCUCGGUUGGUUUCUGUAAUAAUUUCCUUCAAGCUCUCUAUAAUUGUUUAUUUAUUAGUUAUUACACAUAUAGAGUUCUUUAAUGUCUUUGUUUAUAAUAUGACAUUCCCUCAUUAGUUUUUUUGUUAUGUGGAGGGUAAUUUUCUUUUGCUGUGACUUGUGCUUUGUUAUGUGCAGGUUGCAGUCACAGGGACGAGCUGGCCGACCAUAUCAACAAGGUCAACGCAACAGAGUUGAAGGAAAUAUUAAGGUAAGAGGAAAAAUAAAUGCUACAGUCCCUCUUUAUGUUUGUAUCGUUCGGUUGUACCGUAAUUCCAUGUUUUCUGCAAUGCCGCUUCUCUGUCAUUCAUGUCUCACUCUUGGUUAGCUAUAGAGAAAUAUUCCAUGUCUAUUGCCCUGAUUUCCAGUCCACUUUAUGAAAGCCUGUUGUAACUGUUUGCGUAAGUGCUUGUAUGAGCAUGCUAAAUAUCAUGUGUCCGGCUAAACUUAUAUGUUUGCUUGUCUUUGGAAAUAUUCACCCGUGGUGUUGUGCAUUGGCAUGCAUUUAUAUUGGCAACUCUGUUUUUAUUUCUCUUUUGUGAUAGUUUUAGGUGAGAACACAAUACUUAUAGUUGUGACAUACACUACAGGAUUUUUAUAAUUAUUAAUUCUUUGAAUGUGAUCGUGCCAGCGUGCC
RNAcentral lists this ribosomal RNA (4901 nucleotides) under Triticum aestivum (bread wheat). RNAcentral describes it as "partial small subunit ribosomal RNA". Lineage: Eukaryota; Viridiplantae; Streptophyta; Magnoliopsida; Poales; Poaceae. The record is from RNAcentral.